AACGAACGCUGGCGGCAUGCCUAACACAUGCAAGUCGAACGAGACCUUCGGGUCUAGUGGCGCACGGGUGCGUAACGCGUGGGAACCUGCCCUUAGGUUCGGAAUAACUCCCCGAAAGGGGUGCUAAUACCGGAUAAUGUCUUCGGACCAAUGAUUUAUCGCCUUUGGAUGGGCCCGCGUUGGAUUAGCUAGUUGGUAGGGUAAAAGCCUACCAAGGCGACGAUCCAUAGCUGGUCUGAGAGGAUGAUCAGCCACACUGGGACUGAGACACGGCCCAGAAUCCUACGGGAGGCAGCAGUGGGGAAUAUUGGACAAUGGGCGAAAGCAUGAUCCAGCAAUGACGCGUGAGUGAUGAAGGCCUUAGGGUUGUAAAGCUCUUUUAACCGGGAUGAUAAUGACAGUACCGGGAGAAUAAGCUACGGCUAACUCCGUG
Molecule: ribosomal RNA, 433 nt
Filed under: uncultured bacterium
Lineage: Bacteria
Description: partial 16S ribosomal RNA
Rfam family: Bacterial small subunit ribosomal RNA
Source: RNAcentral